GGCUUAUGGACUUCAGGAUGAUAAACACAUGAAAAUCUCAGACAUGAUUCUGCACUGCAGGCUGCAUAUUGUGUCGGUGGGCAUUCAGGAAACUGGCAAGUUAUUCAGAACUCAAUUCUUGGAUGUUACUUGCGUCGUCCUACUCUGAAUCGGCAUCAUGGAGCUCCAUACAUCCACAUGCUCUUCGUCAGCCAGAGCCCAUGGCCCAGUUUAGUCUUUCCCCCAGAUCAUUUUCAGAUCCACCUUUAAGUUAUACAACCAAUGGUAAAGUUAUACACAACUAAGGGACCAUAUCAUCAACUAGAUCAAGACAAGACUGAAUUCGUUGGAGCCAACGUUAUGGUCAGGAAGCAUACCAUCUUUCUUCCCAAUGUUCUCCACUACUAUGCAUGGAUGCUGCACUGGAGUUGCCUGAUAUGUAUUGAGAUGGUACGCAGGAGCAUGCUUGAAGCCCAGUGAGAAGAAAUGAGAAAAUUUCUCAGGAGGGAGAACAU
Lolium rigidum is the source of this 494-nucleotide long non-coding RNA. RefSeq lists it as uncharacterized. NCBI's taxonomy places the organism in Eukaryota, Viridiplantae, Streptophyta, Magnoliopsida, Poales, Poaceae. The record is from RefSeq and is a predicted model, not a curated record. The transcript has 4 exons.